CGCUUCGUGUGAUGACAUAGCCUUUUUUUAAACAGUUAUCCCUGUCUUAAAACAUUGUGUGGAGAAUGCCUAACUUCUGACUUUACG
RNAcentral lists this small nucleolar RNA (87 nucleotides) under Cordyceps militaris CM01. Its description in RNAcentral is "Small nucleolar RNA R38". It matches the Rfam family "Small nucleolar RNA R38". Rfam says of the family: snoR38 is a C/D box small nucleolar RNA conserved across yeast, human, Arabidopsis and rice. It is encoded in the intron of elongation factor-1 gamma in both pombe and cerevisiae. snoR38 guides the methylation of 2'-O-ribose sites in 28S rRNA. Lineage: Eukaryota; Fungi; Ascomycota; Sordariomycetes; Hypocreales; Cordycipitaceae. The record is from Rfam by way of RNAcentral.